Long non-coding RNA from Drosophila montana, 579 nucleotides. RefSeq lists it as uncharacterized. The record is from RefSeq and is a predicted model, not a curated record. The transcript is spliced from 5 exons. Lineage: Eukaryota; Metazoa; Arthropoda; Insecta; Diptera; Drosophilidae.
AAUAUAUAUAAAUUGUUCUUGAAGCUGCUGUGGAGAAAAAUAACAAACGACUCACAUAUAAUGUGAUGUGUGUCUGUGUGUAUGUACAUGCAGGUAUGUGAUUAUUUGGUGAAGUAUAGAAUGGAGAAGCGCAUACACUUAUUGUUCAACGGAGCGAAAGCCUAUGUGUGCAAAUAUGUCUUGAUGUACUUGCAUCAAUAUGGCGAUCGGUUAAAUUUUUAGCGAAAAAAUAAAUCGGAUUGGAGUUGCCGGAAUUUUGGCAAUGGACAAGUUGAGAUCCACCGAUGCUUGCUGGGGCGAACUUGAUAUAAAAGCUGUUGUAAGAGAUCCGGCUCGAAGGACCAAAUGUUGUAGUAGGGCGUCCGCAGGGCUUCCAGAAUAUAUAUUACAUUGUUAGUGUAAGUGUGGUGAAUUUCAUUUUCCUUGUUUCAAUACCGGAGUUACAUGGGCACUUGGAUGGCGACGGCUAGAUACACUUCUUGUGUGAACAAUAAGUAUAACUGAUAUAUCAUCUCGCACGAAAUAAAAUACAUCCACAAUCCUAAUAUAAUUGUCCAAAUAUAUUUAAGAAAAAACAAA